Molecule: long non-coding RNA, 581 nt
Organism: Mus musculus (house mouse)
Lineage: Eukaryota; Metazoa; Chordata; Mammalia; Rodentia; Muridae
Product: predicted gene, 39171
Exons: 2
Source: RefSeq, a predicted model, not a curated record
UGGAACUCUGACCAGGCUUGAACACACAGACAUCCACCUGCUUCUGCUGCCUGAUGCUGGGAUUUGUUUGGUUUCAUACCCAGAAAGGGACUGAGGAGGCGGAGAAACAGCCUAUCAGGGUUAAAGGCAUGCACCAUCAUGUCCCGCCUUUCUCUGCUUUGUAUUACAAUGUAUCUGUCCGGUUUACCUGUGGGGAACCGAUGGAUGGAUAACCCCUAUAGGAUCAUCGGGGACCAGGCUUUCACCCUAACACUUCCAGUAACAAUCUUACCAUGAAGAAAGCAGUAGCUCCUUUCCUGCCAAAUCCUGAUCGCAGGAGUGCUAUGACUCAGCACAGCCAAUUAAACUAACCAUCACCCUGGAGCUGCCUCCUAAACUCUGCUCUUCCCCUCAGUGGAACAUCAGCCAGCCAGGACUGUCCUCAUUUGCAUGCUGGGAAUUGCGUGGUGGGACCCGAGGAAGGCGGAGAGUUCCUGAAUAAGCAAUGUCCCAGCCUGUCUCAGGGCAGACAACUCUUUUGUGACUGCCUUGCCUGCUCCCCACUUUGCAGGAGACGCAAUAAACUUGUUUCUUUCUGCUCC